This 176-nucleotide unclassified non-coding RNA is filed under the name Diaporthe rudis. RNAcentral describes it as "ITS1". Lineage: Eukaryota; Fungi; Ascomycota; Sordariomycetes; Diaporthales; Diaporthaceae. The record is from RNAcentral.
CUGGAAACGCGCCCCAGGCGCACCCAGAAACCCUUUGUGAACUUAUACCUUACUGUUGCCUCGGCGCUAGCUGGUCCUUCGGGGCCCCUCACCCCCGGGUGUUGAGACAGCCCGCCGGCGGCCAACCCAACUCUUGUUUUUACACUGAAACUCUGAGAAUAAAACAUAAAUGAAUC